CUCCACCCUUGUCCUCGUCUACACUCACACCUGUGUUAACGAGAGAAUCUCUGACAUGAUGUCAGCUGGUCCUUUUGUGGCAGGGCUAAAAUGCAGUGGAAAUGUUUUUUGGGGGGGAUUCAGUUCAUUUGCAUGGCAAAGAGGGACUUUGCAAUUAAUUGCAAUUCAUCUGAUCACUCUUCAUAACAUUCUGGAGUAUAUGCAAAUUGCCAUCAUUCAAAAUGAGGCAGCAGACUUUGUGAAAAUUAAUAUUUGUGUCAUUCUCAAAACUUUUGGCCACAACUGUACUCAGCCAACUCCAACCUCAGUCUCCACAUCUGUUUUUUCUGCAACUUCUCCGACCUACCCCGGAUCUGCACUCCAUAUCUCUCUGUAUCCUGCAUUUUGGGAAUGUAGGAAAAACAUGUCAAAUGAACAUUCAGAAGAAUAACCAGAGGCACAAUGGCAACCACUAAACAGACUGCUGUGAAGUAUGGCAACCACUAAACAGACUGCUGUGAAGUAUGGCGACCACUAAACAGACUGCUGUGAAGUAUGGCAACCACUAAACAGACUUCUGUGAAGUAUGGCAACCACUAAACAGACUGCUGUGAAGUAUGGCGACCACUAAACAGACUGCUGUGAAGUAUGGUAACCACUAAACAGACUGCUGUGAAGUAUGGUAACCACUAAACAGACUGCUGUGAAGUAUGGCAACCACUAAACAGACUGCUGUGAAGUAUGGCAACCACUAAACAGACUGCUGUGAAGUAUGGCAACCACUAAACAGACUGCUGUGAAGUAUGGCGACCACUAAACAGACUGCUGUGAAGUAUGGCACAGA
RNAcentral lists this long non-coding RNA (823 nucleotides) under Salmo salar (Atlantic salmon). RNAcentral's name for it is "lncRNA (ENSSSAG00000112194.1)". The record is from RNAcentral. Lineage: Eukaryota; Metazoa; Chordata; Actinopteri; Salmoniformes; Salmonidae.